UUCGUUGUGUUUGGCAAUAGAUAGAAUUCACACUGUGUACACUGAUCAGUGGUUCUGCUUUUGCCAACUACAGCGUGU
Molecule: non-coding RNA, 78 nt
Organism: Saccoglossus kowalevskii
Lineage: Eukaryota; Metazoa; Hemichordata; Enteropneusta; Harrimaniidae
Source: RefSeq, marked provisional